Myotis lucifugus (little brown bat) is the source of this 117-nucleotide small nuclear RNA. Its record names the gene U5. It matches the Rfam family "U5 spliceosomal RNA". From Rfam's summary of the family: U5 RNA is a component of both types of known spliceosome. The precise function of this molecule is unknown, though it is known that the 5' loop is required for splice site selection and p220 binding, and that both the 3' stem-loop and the Sm site are important for Sm protein binding and cap methylation. The record is from Ensembl. NCBI's taxonomy places the organism in Eukaryota, Metazoa, Chordata, Mammalia, Chiroptera, Vespertilionidae.
AUACUCUGGUUUCUCUUCAGAUCGCAUAAAUCUUUCACCUUUUACUAAAGAUUUGUGAUCAGCAUCCUGUCCCUUGAUUAUUAAAUCAAACAUUAAUCUAGGACUUCCGUGGCAGGA